Long non-coding RNA from Eriocheir sinensis (Chinese mitten crab), 1729 nucleotides. RefSeq lists it as uncharacterized. NCBI's taxonomy places the organism in Eukaryota, Metazoa, Arthropoda, Malacostraca, Decapoda, Varunidae. The transcript is spliced from 2 exons. The record is from RefSeq and is a predicted model, not a curated record.
CAGCUGAGAUAGUUUGCUAUAAAUAAAUUCUGAACUUACUAAAAUGUGUCUUUCUCUGUGUAAAAAUAAUAUUAGGAAAUUUCCUCUGGAGUGCGUAUAUUGGUCACACACACACACACACACACACACACACACACACACACACAGUAGCCUACAGAUCACACAUAUGCUCGUCAUACACCUGAUAGAUAACCUGCGUAUUAUUGUCCAGAUCCAGAUAGUAAAUUUUGUAUGUAAAUGAAAAUGUGAUUGAUUGAUUGACAGUUUAUUGUUGCAAGUAAACAACAAAGGAGAAGGGAGGAACAUGCCAUCCCAACCCCCAGACAGUACAGAGUGUGAUUAUACAACUAAGGAUACAUGUGGAAGUAGCACCAGGAAACUAAAAAGAUGGAGACAAGUGCUAAAAAAAAAUAAAGGCCUUGAUUUAGUUUAGAUGGUCUUGCUAUUACCAUUCAAAGCAGAAGAGGUCAGAAGAAGAAGAAGAAGACCAAGGAACCAAAACAAACACUGUCAAAUUAAGCGGAACAAGUCAAAAGAAGACCAAGACCAAGGAGGAACCAGAACAAUCACUGUCAUAGCGGAACAGGUCAAGAGAAGAAGACCAAGACCAAGGAGGAACCAAAACAAACACUGUCAAAGCGGAACAGGUCAAGAGAAGAAGACCAAGACCAAGGAGGAACCAAAACAAACACUGUGCCGUUACAAAGGCAAAACUCCCGACCGACUUCUACUGUCAAAGCGGAACAGGUCAAAAGAUGAAGACCAAGACCAAGGAGGAACCAAAACAAACAGCGGCGGGAGACUUGAGCGGCCAGCAGGGACGAACGUACUAGCCCCAUAAAGCACCCAAGAAGAAGAAGAAGUGACUCAUAUCGCACCCGCACUGGUUUGUCACUGCUUGUCUUGAGUCAGUAUGAAGUAUUGCACCAUAAAGCUACAUGGCAGAGGCCGGAGUAAGACAGUGUAGUGCAGGAGCGCGGCCACGGUGUCUUUGCCAACCUCGCCACCAGCACUAAGCCUUGGCCUCUUGCAGUUUCCCUAUGUUCUUAUGUUCUUAUGUUCUUACCGCAAAUGUGAAAGAAAGUUGAGCCUCAAACUAACUAACUAAGGAGAAGCAUACCAUACUCCCGGGGUGCGUCGCUUCACUCACUCGCCGCCUGUUUCCUUUUCCGUAAAAAAAAAAAAAAAGCUUGAAGGCAUUUACUGAUUAAUUACGUACUUGAUUUAGCUUAGGAAACCCAUUACUCAUGCGAUACCGAUUGUACAUUGGUGUCUUUGAUGAUAAGAGAUUUAGUCUUCACCAUUCGAAAACCCCACUAUUCCAGAAUUGCACCCAUCUCACUGCAAGGGUCAUAACGACAUCCUCAAGCGGCUUCUGAGGCUUCCUAGAUGGAAUAGCUCAUUCCUGGCCUUCACCGGGCAAGGGAUGAACUGUCUGGCUGUGCUGUGUCACCAUGCUGCGUACAGUAUGAGGAGUAGAGUGGAACAAUCUGGGAACUCCAUCAUCACCUCCAUCAGACAGAGCUCGGCCUAUAUAUGCGAAUCUAUGCGGCGGGAGUGGCUGGGUCUUCUGUUUGUGUAGAUUGUGCAUAAGUGUGCCGUGCACAUGCAUAUAUAAUUAUAAGUUGUCAAUUAUUUAAGCAUUAUGUAUCUCAGUCGAUCUCAUUCGUUUUCUUGUCCUGUUUUUUUAUAUAUGCCACUGGGCAAAAUAAAACUAUUAUUAUUAUUA